Molecule: ribosomal RNA, 301 nt
Filed under: uncultured bacterium
Lineage: Bacteria
Description: partial 16S ribosomal RNA
Rfam family: Bacterial small subunit ribosomal RNA
Source: RNAcentral
CAUCGCCACGGUAAUACGAAGGGGGCUAGCGUUGUUCGGAAUUACUGGGCGUAAAGGGCGCGUAGGCGGCCAUUCAAGUUAGAUGUGAAAGCCCUGGGCUCAACCUAGGAAUUGCAUUUGAUACUGUUUGGCUUGAGUUCGGGAGAGGUGAGUGGAAUUCCCAGUGUAGAGGUGAAAUUCGUAGAUAUUGGGAAGAACACCAGUGGCGAAGGCGGCUCACUGGACCGACACUGACGCUGAGGCGCGAAAGCGUGGGGAGCAAACAGGAUUAGAUACCCCCGUAGUCCCUGUCUCUUAUACA